UGAAGCACAAGGUUUCCCUGUCCCAUUUUCCCAGAAAUAGACUUCAGGUCAGCUGCCUGCCUGCCCUCACCUAUUAGAUGCCUACUGCCUGUCUCUCCUUGCCUCCCUAAGGUGGGAGCGCUUCAAAAGAGACCUACAAAUGUUUUACUUAUGAAUUUGCCUCAGCUGAUUUUCCAAAAGGGAGAACAGAAGAUGGCUUCCUUACCGUUCACCACACCUGAGGAACCCUCAUAAUGAGGUGUGGCAGGAUCAGAAGUGAAGGUUUACAUCACCUCCCCCAGGCCUCAUAGGCAGGCCUCUUAGUCUUGAGUGGACGUGGUGAAUAAAGAGGAAGCAUUUCUGAGUUCUGAAUUGGCUGCAAGUUUUAACAGUCAAAUGCAGAAUGUGUGAAAGGACAUAAACACUGCAACACUAAAUCACCCUCAGUGAUCAGGAACAUUCUGGUUGGGGACAACCCUGGAUGCCACUUGCCAACAUUUGAGGCUUAAAACAAAACAAAAAUGACCAGCUGUUUGGGAAAUGUAACUAGAGUUUCAAGCCUGACAUGUUUUGUUAGCUGCUGUUUAUGCAGAUCGACCAAACUGGUGAUGAGAAUGAUGGCUUGACACUGUAUGCCAGUAGAAGGGAAGGAGUUGGUUACAGAGCUUUGGAGAGGAGAGAUAUUCUUCAUUCUUUCUUUGAGAGAAACACAUGUGUUUCCAGGCUGUCUUUGGAGAGAGAGAGACCCAGGGACAGAGGAGAAAAAAAAAAUAACAACAAACUUUGGGAAGUGGAAGAUAUGUAGAAAAGAUGGAUCCCCAACAUGUUACUGAUUUCCAACUUGCCUCCCUAGAGAUUUCAGGGAAUCUUGCUUUGGGUAAACCUGGAGGGCCUCUCUCUUGAUUGAGCUGAGAUUUUUCUCUGGGAAAAUACAUGCUAUGACUUUUCUGCAGUAUACUCUAAUCUACAUAACCUUUUUUGAUUUCUGUUUGCUGUAUGUUUGAAUAAAUUUAUUUACUUCUUA
Molecule: long non-coding RNA, 1003 nt
Organism: Vombatus ursinus (common wombat)
Lineage: Eukaryota; Metazoa; Chordata; Mammalia; Diprotodontia; Vombatidae
Exons: 2
Source: RefSeq, a predicted model, not a curated record